UACGGAGGGUGCGAGCGUUAAUCGGAAUUACUGGGCGUAAAGCGUGCGUAGGCGGCCGCUUAAGUCUGAUGUGAAAGCCCCGGGCUUAACCUGGGAAUGGCAUUGGAGACUGGGCGGCUAGAGUGCGAUAGAGGAUGGUGGAAUUCCCGGUGUAGCGGUGAAAUGCGUAGAGAUCGGGAGGAACACCAGUGGCGAAGGCGACCAUCUGGGUCUGCACUGACGCUCAGGCACGAAAGCGUGGGGAGCAAACAGG
This 253-nucleotide unclassified non-coding RNA is filed under the name uncultured Gammaproteobacteria bacterium. RNAcentral describes it as "contains 16S-23S intergenic spacer region". It matches the Rfam family "Bacterial small subunit ribosomal RNA", at positions 524 to 776 of the family's 1533-position model. The record is from RNAcentral. Lineage: Bacteria; Pseudomonadati; Pseudomonadota; Gammaproteobacteria.